Molecule: transfer RNA, 92 nt
Filed under: Drosophila busckii
Lineage: Eukaryota; Metazoa; Arthropoda; Insecta; Diptera; Drosophilidae
Rfam family: tRNA
About the family: Transfer RNA (tRNA) molecules are approximately 80 nucleotides in length.
Source: Rfam by way of RNAcentral
CCUUCGAUAGCUCAGUUGGUAGAGCGGUGGACUGUAGCGAGUUUACAAUUGUAGAAAUCCAUAGGUCGCUGGUUCAAAUCCGGCUCGAAGGA